GCCAGUUGUUUGAUUUGUUCUUUGUACCCUUGCUCGGGUGUAACGAAUCUCAGCAAAAUAAUUAUAAUGUUUACCUGUUUGAUUAACGUAUUUGCUGAAUAACAAGCUUAGGUAGAUGCGAGCCACGUAUAUAAGGGCUCGGCGGCCGAUCCUUGGGCAUCAGUUGACAACAUGAAACUUCUUUCUAUUCUCGCAGUCGUGGCCGCGAUGUUCUCAGCCUUGGCUGUAGCGUCUCCAUCGCCGACAUUCUACAACAACAAUGACUCCAGUGAAAGCGGUGGCGGCGGCGGCGGCGGCGGCGGUGGCAGCUCGGGCGGCGGCGGCGGCGGCGGUGGCGGCGGCCGCUAACUACAUCCCCUGGCGACACAGACCAGACACCUACACAGAUUUAUGGCUCUCUCUCAUCUCUAUGGAUGAUUGAUGUUAAUAAAAAAUAAUUUGUGUGUGA
This is a non-coding RNA of Plutella xylostella (diamondback moth), 448 nucleotides long. The record is from RefSeq and is a predicted model, not a curated record. NCBI's taxonomy places the organism in Eukaryota, Metazoa, Arthropoda, Insecta, Lepidoptera, Plutellidae.